UCCCUGGUGGUCUGGUGGUUAGGACUCUGCACUUCAAAUGCAGAGGGCCCAGGGUUUGAUCCCUGGUCAGCAAA
Molecule: transfer RNA, 74 nt
Filed under: Ovis aries (sheep)
Lineage: Eukaryota; Metazoa; Chordata; Mammalia; Artiodactyla; Bovidae
Rfam family: tRNA
About the family: Transfer RNA (tRNA) molecules are approximately 80 nucleotides in length. Their secondary structure includes four short double-helical elements and three loops (D, anti-codon, and T loops).
Source: Rfam by way of RNAcentral